Gavia stellata (red-throated loon) is the source of this 125-nucleotide non-coding RNA. The record is from Rfam. NCBI's taxonomy places the organism in Eukaryota, Metazoa, Chordata, Aves, Gaviiformes, Gaviidae.
CGUCAGCCCCGUCAAAUUCAGCGCCAUCCGCUGUGGUUGGUGCUGGCCCAGCCAGCUGCUACGGAAAUACCUGCAGGUCAUGGGAUCACAGGAUGGUUUGGGUCGGAAGGGACCUUUGAAGACCA